This 446-nucleotide ribosomal RNA is filed under the name uncultured bacterium. RNAcentral describes it as "partial 16S ribosomal RNA". It matches the Rfam family "Bacterial small subunit ribosomal RNA", at positions 338 to 795 of the family's 1533-position model. The record is from RNAcentral.
CCUACGGGAGGCUGCAGUCGAGAAUCAUUCACAAUGGGGGAAACCCUGAUGGUGCGACGCCGCGUGGGGGAAUGAAGGUCUUCGGAUUGUAAACCCCUGUCAUGUGGGAGCAAAUUAAAAAGAUAGUACCCCAAGAGGAAGAGACGGCUAACUCUGUGCCAGCCGCCGCGGUAAUACAGAGGUCUCAAGCGUUGUUCGGAAUCACUGGGCGUAAAGCGUGCGUAGGCUGUUUCGUAAGUCGUGUGUGAAAGGCGCGGGCUCAACCCGCGGACGGCACAUGAUACUGCGAGAAUAGAGUAAUGGAGGGGGAACCGGAAUUCUCGGUGUAGCAGUGAAAUGCGUAGAUAUCGAGAGGAACACUCGUGGCGAAGGCGGGUUCCUGGACAGUAACGGACGCUGAGGCACGAAGGCCAGGGGAGCGAAAAGGAUUAGAUACCCGGGUAGUG